Molecule: long non-coding RNA, 1961 nt
Organism: Cygnus olor (mute swan)
Lineage: Eukaryota; Metazoa; Chordata; Aves; Anseriformes; Anatidae
Exons: 3
Source: RefSeq, a predicted model, not a curated record
CUUUCCUACAGCAACGAAGGAAGCUCCCUGUUUCUUCUUCCCUCAGAGGCACCCUUUGCACAUCCCACUUUCUCGCUGCUAUGUGAAAGCAAUGACAUCACCUAAAGCAUUCUGAGAUCACAUAGCAGGCUCGGAAAACAUGCAGGAACUGAAGUGGCUGCAGAAGCCGGAUGUAGCCUGCUCACAGCCCUGAAAGCACUCUCUUAUGAUGGCUUGGGCUAGAGGAUAAAAUUUCUGACACAGACGGCACAGACACAGGGCAAAGCAAGACAGACAAAAUCAGCAGUAAUAUCUGUGUGCAGCUAGAACAGAGCCGAGCAUCUUUAAUAAUCUGUAAUCCCUUACCCUGGAAAGAAGACUUAAGUCACUUCUCUCCUACGUCUUAUUUGACAAGAGGGCAUGAUUGCACAAUCAUUAAUAGCUGAUAUCCACACUGCCUAACAGUACUAAUUUGAUGCAGAUCAGGCAGCAGUCUGCAGCUGCACCUCUGUUAAAUUAGCCAGAGAAUAUGACAGAGCAUUUAGGCCAUUGUAAUACUAGCUAGGGGUGAAUAUAGCUGAUCCAGAGAUAUCACAGAUGUGCAUAUAGAUAGUCCAAGAGCCAGCACAAAGUCUACCGGUACACACCAAAAUCCUUUGAACAAAUCUGAAAGAGCAGAAUAAAUUUAUUGGUGCCACGUGGCCCGGUUAUUCUGUUUUUUAUCUCAGAUGUCCUAAAGCUGCAUCAACUAUGUCAUUGAAACACUGUCAUUAUGUUCAACUGUGUCAUUGAAACAUUGCCAUUAUGUUCAAGAGGCAGGGAGAGCCUCUUUGGGUACACAGGCGUGGAGACAAAACUUGUUAAGAUAGAGCCCAAAUUGCCCUGAUUGCCAUGACUCACAGCCCACUGUGUCUAGGAGCUGCUGGUACUUAAGGUUUAUGAACCUCACUACCUUACUACUCAAUCCCACAGGCUAACGAGCACCCCAUGAUUUAAAUGAGUUUGAGGGGUGCUCAGUUCACAACACUGAAUAAUUGGCUGCCAAUGAAUGGUUUUGAGCCCAGGAGCAUCCCCUUCAGGACAGGGAAGUUAGCCAGAAACGAUUUGGUGACGUGAAAGCAGACAAGAGCCCAAGAUGCUGCCUAGUUCAGAGCUUCGGGCAGAGCUGUGCCGCGUCACUCGCUGGAUGGAAACAUGCAACUCCCUGCGGUGCUGCAGCAAUGAAUAUGCAAGAAACGCUACCUUGGUACAGAACAGAAAAAUCCGUGCAGGUUAUACUGACUGUGGGAAGUGAGGCUGUCGUGAUGAAGCGAGAAUGAGGUGGCUGUGAGGUUUCUCCAAGGAGUCUUUAACUACCCCGUGGGUAUAUUAGCGCCUGCCUGCAACACGUGAAACACUUGAGUAUUAGCUUAGCUCUCUUUCUCCAGUUAAAAGCAUUAAAUUGCAGAUGCCAAGUGUUUUCUUCCCCUCAUUCUCUUUCAAAUUCCUGAAAGCUAAAGUAAUUUUGUCAUGACUCACAUUAUAAAAAGAACAAGUGAUGUGACUGCUCCCACUUAUCAUGCACAUGUACAAAACAAAUAUUCUCUGUCCGCUCUACCUUGACUUGCUGGUGCCUGCAGUCCCAUCAUCAUAGCCAUCUGUUUAAGCAUUAAUGCCAAGCUCUGCUCCAUGAAGUCAUUUUUUUAAUUUUUUUUCCAGGGGGUGGAAAUCUUUUUUUCCUCCCCCCCAAUCAUUUUUAUAUCACUCCCACUAAAUGCACUAGGCUCGAUACAUGAGCAGAAGGAUUUGGCAAUGGCAUGAGUAAAAAUCCCGUGUGUUGACAGAAAAUACCCGUUCUUGGAUCACCCAGAUUGGACCCAAAUCACAGUGCUGAAACACAGGAGAAACUGAAAACAGGCACCUCCACUUGUGGUUUAUCCACAAGGACUUCUCUCCCAGAACAUAGGACUGAUGUCACCAGGCUUCUCCAUGAAUACCAUUCA